AAUCACCCGGGCUCCCCCCUUCCUGCCCACUCACCUGCACCGCACGAAGCCCCCCGGGUUCGUGUAGGCCCCCGUGGCGAUGCUCUUUCUUUGCUCUCCGCAUUCCUGCCGGCUGUUCGCACCCAAAUUGCUCCAAACCGGGACCUUCGGGGGGAUGGAGCAGCCCCGGGGGGAGCAGCCCCGGGACCCCCGGGGGUCACCGCGCAUCGCCGGGACCGGGACGAGGAAAGGGGACACGAGCUAGGGACGGGGUUUGGAUGGCUCUGGGGGCUCUGUCUGUCCGUCCCUCUGUCUGUCCGUCCCUGUCUGUCCGUCCGCGUGCCCGCGUGCGCGUGCCCGCGCCGCCGCCGCCGCCCCCGCGAGCGGGCGCUACCGGCUGCGGCGCGGCCCCGGCGGGCGGCGGGAGCAUGGAGGCGGCGGCGGGGCCAGGUGAGGAGGCACCGGGCAGGGGUCGGGGCCGGGGUCGGGGCGAGCAGCAGGGUUAAGGGGUCGCUGGAGGGGUUCCUGGGGGCCGCUGCCCGCUGCUCGUUGUCUGGGGGGGGGGGGUUUCUACGAAGCCCGCUGCCCGCUCGGGCCGCCCCAAGGCGAGAGCGGGCGUCCCGAAAUCGCCCUGCAUCACGGCACGCUGAGAUCCCGGGUGCCUGCAUCCUGAAAUCGCGGGUCUCUGCCUCCCUGCCGCUCUGCAUCCCUGCUUCCUUGCAUCCCGGGUCCCUGCAUCCCGAAAUCCCGGGUCCCGGCAUCACAGCAUCCCGAAAUCCUGGGUCCCUGCACCCUGAAAUCCCGGGUCCCUUCGUCACUGCCUCCCUGCAUCCCGAGUCCCUGCAUCCCGAAAUCCUGGGUCCCUGCAUCCCAAAAUCCCAGGUCCCUGCAUCCUGGCAUCCUGGGUCCCUGCAUCACAGCAUCCCAAAAUGCCGGCGUCCCUGCAUCCCAGGUCCCCGCAUCCCUUCACCCCAGCAUCGCAGCAUCCCCGGUCCCUGCCUCCCUGCAUCCAAAAAUCCUGGGUCCCUGCAUCCCGGCACCCUGGUCCCUGCCUCCCUCCAUCCCUCCCGGCACCCCAAAACCAGCGACCGUACGCAGCAGCGCUGGGAGUACCCCCCGGGCAUACCGCCUUCCCCGAAGGGAAAGGAAAUGAUUUGGGGGGCUUGA
This 1146-nucleotide long non-coding RNA is filed under the name Cairina moschata (Muscovy duck). RNAcentral's name for it is "domestica (muscovy Duck (domestic type)) lncRNA (ENSCMMG00000014684.1)". The record is from RNAcentral. Lineage: Eukaryota; Metazoa; Chordata; Aves; Anseriformes; Anatidae.